Molecule: long non-coding RNA, 468 nt
Filed under: Capra hircus (goat)
Lineage: Eukaryota; Metazoa; Chordata; Mammalia; Artiodactyla; Bovidae
Description: lncRNA (ENSCHIG00010015154.1)
Source: RNAcentral
AGAUUUAUACAGGAGAACGGAGAAUGACUUUACCUAAAGGUAUGUGUUAUUGUUUUCUUCCUUUCUUUUUAUUCCUUUGAAAAAACCUGAAAGAGUAGAAUACUUUCUCAUCUUUCCCGCCAAGGUUUCCAUGAAAGUAACCUAUGUCUUGGUUCUUUUUUCUUUCCUGCAGUCUCUGGGGACAGAGAAAUGUAUGUGUAGAGCAUCAAACUUUUAUGAAGAAGACACUCCGUGAAGUAUCAGAGAGAUUUGAGAACUUGGAAAGUUAUUCCUAGGUAUCUCAUGAUGUUCUUCUGAGUACUUGGAACCUGUCUGCCGUGUUCCCAACCCCUGCCUCGGGCACCCUGACACAACCGGUUCCUGAUGCCCUCUAUGGAAACAGCAAAGUCCCAGCCAACAGCAUGCAUUGUUUCCAGAGCCACCGUAUCUGGGGAACCAGAGCUGCUGGUAAGGAGGAGGAGACUGAAG